RNAcentral lists this ribosomal RNA (406 nucleotides) under uncultured bacterium. RNAcentral describes it as "partial 16S ribosomal RNA". It matches the Rfam family "Bacterial small subunit ribosomal RNA", at positions 29 to 526 of the family's 1533-position model. The record is from RNAcentral.
AUUGAACGCUGGCGGCAGGCCUAACACAUGCAAGUCGAGCGAGCGGCGGACGGGUGAGUAAUGUCUGGGAAACUGCCUGAUGGAGGGGGAUAACUACUGGAAACGGUAGCUAAUACCGCAUACCAUCAGAUGUGCCCAGAUGGGAUUAGCUGGUAGGUGGGGUAACGGAGCACCUAGGCGACGAUCCCUAGCUGGUCUGAGAGGAUGAACAGCCACACUGGAACUGAGACACGGUCCAGACUCCUACGGGAGGCAGGAGGGGGGAAUAUUGCACAAUGGGCGAAAGCCGGAUGAAGCCAUGCCGCGUGGGUGAAGAAGGCCUUCGGGUUGUAAAGCACUUUCAGCGGUGAGGCGUUACCCGCAGAAGAAGCACCGGCUAACUCCGUGCCAGCAGCCGCGGUAAUAC